RNAcentral lists this ribosomal RNA (253 nucleotides) under uncultured bacterium. RNAcentral describes it as "partial 16S ribosomal RNA". It matches the Rfam family "Bacterial small subunit ribosomal RNA", at positions 524 to 776 of the family's 1533-position model. The record is from RNAcentral.
UACGUAGGGUGCAAGCGUUAAUCGGAAUUACUGGGCGUAAAGCGUGCGCAGGCGGUUUUGUAAGACUGUCGUGAAAUCCCCGGGCUUAACCUGGGAAUGGCGAUGGUGACUGCAAGGCUAGAGUUUGGCAGAGGGGGGUAGAAUUCCACGUGUAGCAGUGAAAUGCGUAGGGAUGUGGAGGAACACCGAUGGCGAAGGCAGCCCCCUGGGUCAAAACUGACGCUCAUGCACGAAAGCGUGGGGAGCAAACAGG